CCUACGGGAGGCAGCAGUGAGGAAUAUUGGUCAAUGGACGAGAGUCUGAACCAGCCAAGUAGCGUGAAGGAUGACUGCCCUAUGGGUUGUAAACUUCUUUUAUAUGGGAAUAAAAUGUUUCACGUGUGGGAUUUUGUAUGUACCAUAUGAAUAAGGAUCGGCUAACUCCGUGCCAGCAGCCGCGGUAAUACGGAGGAUACGAGCGUUAUCCGGAUUUAUUGGGUUUAAAGGGAGCGUAGUCGGAUUGUGAAGUCAGUUGCGAAAGGUUGCGGCUCAACCGUAGAAUUGCAGUUGAUACUGGCAGGCUUGAGUACAGUAGAGGUGGGCGGAAUGCGUGGUGUAGCGGUGCAAUGCUUAGAUAUCACGAAGAACUCCGAUUGCGAAGGCAGCUCACUGGACUGCAACUGACACUGAGGCUCGAAGGUGUGGGUAUCAAACAGGAUUAGAUACCCUUGUAGUC
RNAcentral lists this ribosomal RNA (460 nucleotides) under uncultured bacterium. RNAcentral's name for it is "partial 16S ribosomal RNA". It matches the Rfam family "Bacterial small subunit ribosomal RNA", at positions 338 to 795 of the family's 1533-position model. The record is from RNAcentral.